This 468-nucleotide ribosomal RNA is filed under the name uncultured bacterium. Its description in RNAcentral is "partial 16S ribosomal RNA". It matches the Rfam family "Bacterial small subunit ribosomal RNA", at positions 28 to 506 of the family's 1533-position model. The record is from RNAcentral.
GACGAACGCUGGCGGCGUGCUUAACACAUGCAAGUCGAACGGAAAGGCCCUGCUUGCCGGGUGCUCGAGUGGCGAACGGGUGAGUAACACGUGGGUGAUCUGCCCCUUACUUUGGGAUAAGCCUGGGAAACUGGGUCUAAUACUGGAUAGGACCAUGCUGUAGGUGGUGUGGUGGAAAGAUUAGUUUCGGAAAGGGAUGAGCUCGCGGCCUAUCAGCUUGUUGGUGGGGUAAUGGCCUACCAAGGCGUCGACGGGUAGCCGGCCUGAGAGGGUGGACGGCCACAUUGGGACUGAGAUACGGCCCAGACUCCUACGGGAGGCAGCAGUGGGGAAUAUUGCACAAUGGGCGCAAGCCUGAUGCAGCGACGCCGCGUGGGGGAUGACGGCCUUCGGGUUGUAAACUCCUUUCAGCCAUGACGAAGCCCUUGUGGUGACGGUAGUGGUAGAAGAAGCACCGGCUAACUACGU